AGUUAUGCUACGGACCAUUUAAAAUUAAUUACGAUUUUCGAUUCAUUCAGUUAUAUUUCAUUAAAAAUACCCCUCUAGAAAAUUCUUUGGAGACGCCUAUUUAAUCGCCUAGGUGCCUAUUUUCGCAGCGAAGCAAGAGGAAAGCACCGCGCAUGUUUCUAUCGGAUCGAUACGAAUCGAUUUCCGAUAACAUUGAACAUCAGUUGGUCAGGAAACGGCUCGAACGGCGGAUGGCGCGCCGCUAGUAAGGUUAUUCCCACUUUUAAGUGACGGGAUUGAAACAAAUUUUCGAUGGAAAUCAAAUAAUUAGAAGGAAAUUAAGCGUCAGCUAAUCCCAUCUACAAAACUAGAUAACCAAAGUUAAACAUGUCUUUGGACUUCUUCACAUAACAGAAGUGGAUAUUCCGGCGUGCCUGCCUUGUUUCAAUCCCGUAACUUAGUUAUUUAGUCACACAACGUGACUCUAUCACGUUAAUUAUGUACUAGUUAGAUUGCUAGCCACUCUGUGAUGGUUUAUCCCUAGAGUGGGCUGUUUUUGUUGGAUAAUACACCAUACCUGAUUUUACUACAACCAGCAUCUUCACCCAGGACCUUGCAGUAGGACUUACUCACCACAGCAGCCAACCAGCGUUAGCGUGCCAAAAGAAUUCAUCUCUAUGGACUUGCAACCCUACUUUUAACCGGCUGUUGUGUAAAAGCUAAGUUUAUUUACUUUUUCUGUAUUUACUUUUGGGUAAGAUAUAUUUGCUACAUUGUAAACUUUUCGUAUGCAUACGAUUAGGAAGAGUACAUAUAUUUUCGUGAUAGAUAGGGUUUUAGGUUGUUGUUUUUUUUUCUUUUUGAUUCAGUAUAAGUAGGAGUUAGUUAAAAUAAAUAAAAUCAGGUCUUGUUUAAUAAUCAUAAAUAAUUGUAUCUUAAAAUUUAAUAGGGAAUCGGGUUGUAAAAUUUUGUCGCGGAUUUUAAAUAGGGAAUACGUCUCGUAGGUUUUUUUUGUAAAAUAUAUAAAGAGUCACUGACCAACUCAUUUAUAUAGACCUUUUUGCUAUUCCAACGGACUUUUGAUUUGGAUUUUGAUUUUAAUACUUUUGCUUGGCCAGUGAUAGUGGAUAAUUGCUUGUUGAGUGGCCUUUGCGGUCCUAUUUUAUCUUUUCCCCAUCCACUAUCACUGUUAUUACGUUGCGUUAUAUGUAAAGUGUUAACAUUUAAUAUUUAUUAUUAAUAUAUUUGUAUGUAUUAAGGUUGGUGUUUUAUUUCAGUCUGUAUUACCAGUAUAUAACAUAGCAAGACAAGAUCAGUAUUUAGUAUUUUGUAUUUCAGGUGGUUGUAACCAGUGUCAUAGAGUUCAUGUUGUUCGUUACUUCAAAAUCUCGAACCUGUCCAACUUCUUGGUUCUGAGAGCCGAGUUGUUCGUUCGAGUUGGCGCCCUUUUUUUCUUCUUCUUUCUUUGUUGUAACUCGAUAUUAUUUUAUCUCUAGCAUUCUUAUCUAUUUUCCUUCCAUUUUUGUAUUAAUAGUCUCAUUUUCUUCCUAGUUACUAUCAUUUCAUUACCAAAUUUUCUUCUUAUAUCUCUAAAGCCAAUAUUCGGUGUAUGGAAGCUAGCCCGAAUACUCAUACUUGAGAUUUAGUGUCUCUCUGCCCUUUUGAUUUUUUUUCCUUCUGAGCUAAGCCCCUCUUCUUUUCGUCUUAAAUCUCUUCGCUCCUAUUUUCCCCCAUAUUUCGUCAGUUCUUCUCUUCAAAAAUCUCUAUACCCAGAGUAUAGAGGGUUCAAUUGGCUAGACCCAACGUGUGGCUUCUUUUACAUUUUUGGCUUUGAAAAUAUUUUCUUUAACUUUUGGUUUUAUCUUGGUGGUUUCAGUGCCUGUGUUUUUAGAUUUUCAUUUUAACGUUUAGUUUAUACUUCAAUUUUUUUUUGGACAGUAUCUUGUAUCUAUAUCUUGAAUAAACUUGUUUUGCUAUGGUAUACUGUGUUGACUGAAUGGAUUGCUUUGUUUUGAUUGGUCAAAUAAUUAUUUUGAAUUAAUAAUAAAUAAAUUGAAAAUUUGAAUAUCUUGAAUUUAGCUAUUUUACAAGUCCGGAAUAGCAUUAAAAGUGAAUCACUACCUUGAAUUAAAAGUUUUUUCGAUUUUAGGUUUAUCGGAAGUUGUAGCAGUACAUUUCAACGGAUUUCACGACUGGACCAAACAAAUAAACAUUACUGGUAUAGGUAUCCACUCACAACAUUAACUUGAGGACAGAGAGUAAGUUAAACUUUACCUACUUACAUUUUAUCUCAUUCUCGUGUUUAUUUCCCAGUUGUUUAUAAUGGCAUCGUUUAAGGUAGAACACAUAUUUAUUUUGUUUACCUAGUUAACAUCUGUUGUUGUGCCUUUUAUCUUAUUUUAUCUUAUCUUAAUGUUGACUAAUAUCUUAGUUUUGGACUUGUUCAUUUUGCUGUGAGUUGCCUCUUGAAAGUCCAAACUAUAUACCAUAGGAGUACAGGAUGGAUAAUGGGAAUUUUCCCCAUCUUGAAUUCUGGGUUAAAUAAGUAUUUACAGGGAUAAUUGGAAAACGCUUUUCAAAAAAAAAAUAUAUUUUCCUUGAUUUAUGGUUUUGUAUGGUUGCGUACGGACCAUGCCCAUAAAUUGUUACAGUCGCUUUACUGUGUCAGGAUCUAGCGUGGGUUCAGGACUGAUCACCCCGAACUUGUGCACUUCACUUGGCUCAGAAAUACAUUAAUAUCUAUAAGUUGUUCCCAGAGUGUCUCAGGUUGAAAUUAGAAUGUGUCAUAUAGAAUUCGAUCGUUCUGAUAUUCAGCAGUAAGUAAGUCUGUUUAACUUGGUUGUCAUCUCCUAUGCUGUUAUCUUUUAAAUGAUUUGAGUUUUAACAUAUCUUUACCUGAAGUGAGUUUACCUUUACCUGAGGUGAGUUUAUCUUUACCUUUACCUGAAGUGAGUUUAUCUUUAUCUUUACCUGAAGUGACUUUACCUUUACCUGAAGUGAGUUUACCUUUACCUGAAGUGAGCUUAUCUUUACCUUUACCUGAGGUGAGCUUAUCUUUACCUUUACCUGAAGUGAGUUUAUCUUUAUCUUUACCUGAAGUGACUUUACCUUUACCUGAAGUGAGUUUACCUUUACCUGAAGUGAGCUUAUCUUUACCUUUACCUGAGGUGAGUUUAUCUCUACCUUUACCUGAAGUGAGUUUACCUUUACCUGAAGUGAGUUUAUCUUUACCUUGAGUUUAUCUCGUACCUUUACCUUGAUGAGUGCAUCUCUUAUCUAUAUCUGAUUGAAUGUAUAUCUUAUCUUUAUCUUGAUUAUUAUAAAGUCCUAAGAAUCUGUCCUUCUCUGUGCUUGUCGUGAGUAAAGAAUUGGAUCACGUCAAUAGUGCAGUUUAGGUAUUACAGUUAGGACCCUAAUUAUAUCUUACCUUUUGUGCAUACCCUCUACCACGAGUAGAUGUGGGCUUGCAAUUAUCUUUACCUUUUAGCAUACUCUAUACCAUGAGUAUAGUGGGCUUGCUAGUAUCUUUACCUAGAUUGUGUCUUCCUAUCACUGCUCAAGAGAGUAGAUGUUAAGGAUUAUCUUUUACCUUGAUUUUUAGUUGUUGGUGAUAUCCAGAACCAUAUCAUUAUUUAUGUUUAGCUUUGUAGUAAUGUAGUUUCAACUAGUCUUGAUGAAUUAGUCCCUCAUUGAAUUCUCGGGUGAUUAGUAGAAUUUGUUCGCUCUAGUAUCAAUGUUGGGUAAAUUUGAUAUGUUGAUUGUUGUGUGUGGUUCUUGGUUAUACUGUGUUAGGUGUUGUUAAUACACACCUGUAAUUUAGAUUUAAUGAUGGGUUACUAACACUUGAGAAUGCAGAUAGUAAGUAGUGUUAAGAGUUGACUUACUCUAUAAGGUUGUAUAAUUAUAUUUAGAAUGUAAGUGAUUAACGUGUAAUUAUUUGUUUUUCUCUAUCUUUGGUUUUACUAAAUUAAAGUAAAUUAUCUUGUUGAAUAACUCAUGUCGGUCAGUUACACAUCCCUUCUAUGUUCUAUACUUUCUGCAAAUAUGAUUAAAUAUAUCUCACGUGGCCUCUAUACUAUGUAUGACUUCGUUCCUGAUUUUUGUUCUGUCCCCUCAGCAAAUAGUAUGACUGUUGAGCCUACCAUCAUUAUGUUUUUAUCCCACAACGUUACUCCUUUACCGUGUCCACCCUCAGGUUCGCCCUAGCGUCAGUUAGUUCUGGAAAAUAAAAAAAAAGGAAACUUGUGGAGUUUUCCUUUUUUUUUGCUGGAGAUAAGGGAGAAUGUAGCAGUUAUGCUACGGACCAUUUAAAAUUAAUUACGAUUUUCGAUUCAUUCAGUUAUAUUUCAUUAAAAAUACCCCUCUAGAAAAUUCUUUGGAGACGCCUAUUUAAUCGCCUAGGUGCCUAUUUUCGCAGCGAAGCAAGAGGAAAGCACCGCGCAUGUUUCUAUCGGAUCGAUACGAAUCGAUUUCCGAUAACAUUGAACAGCAGUUGGUCAGGAAACGGCUCGAACGGCGGAUGGCGCGCCGCUAGUAAGGUUAUUCCCACUUUUAAGUGACGGGAUUGAAACAAAUUUUCGAUGGAAAUCAAAUAAUUAGAAGGAAAUUAAGCGUCAGCUAAUCCCAUCUACAAAACUAGAUAACCAAAGUUAAACAUGUCUUUGGACUUCUUCACAUAACAGAAGUGGAUAUUCCGGCGUGCCUGCCUUGUUUCAAUCCCGUAACUUAGUUAUUUAGUCACACAACGUGACUCUAUCACGUUAAUUAUGUACUAGUUAGAUUGCUAGCCACUCUGUGAUGGUUUAUCCCUAGAGUGGGCUGUUUUUGUUGGAUAAUACACCAUACCUGAUUUUACUACAACCAGCAUCUUCACCCAGGACCUUGCAGUAGGACUUACUCACCACAGCAGCCAACCAGCGUUAGCGUGCCAAAAGAAUUCAUCUCUAUGGACUUGCAACCCUACUUUUAACCGGCUGUUGUGUAAAAGCUAAGUUUAUUUACUUUUUCUGUAUUUACUUUUGGGUAAGAUAUAUUUGCUACAUUGUAAACUUUUCGUAUGCAUACGAUUAGGAAGAGUACAUAUAUUUUCGUGAUAGAUAGGGUUUUAGGUUGUUGUUUUUUUUUCUUUUUGAUUCAGUAUAAGUAGGAGUUAGUUAAAAUAAAUAAAAUCAGGUCUUGUUUAAUAAUCAUAAAUAAUUGUAUCUUAAAAUUUAAUAGGGAAUCGGGUUGUAAAAUUUUGUCGCGGAUUUUAAAUAGGGAAUACGUCUCGUAGGUUUUUUUUGUAAAAUAUAUAAAGAGUCACUGACCAACUCAUUUAUAUAGACCUUUUUGCUAUUCCAACGGACUUUUGAUUUGGAUUUUGAUUUUAAUACUUUUGCUUGGCCAGUGAUAGUGGAUAAUUGCUUGUUGAGUGGCCUUUGCGGUCCUAUUUUAUCUUUUCCCCAUCCACUAUCACUGUUAUUACGUUGCGUUAUAUGUAAAGUGUUAACAUUUAAUAUUUAUUAUUAAUAUAUUUGUAUGUAUUAA
This 5505-nucleotide long non-coding RNA is filed under the name Diabrotica virgifera virgifera (western corn rootworm). RNAcentral's name for it is "uncharacterized LOC126888020". The record is from RNAcentral. Lineage: Eukaryota; Metazoa; Arthropoda; Insecta; Coleoptera; Chrysomelidae.